GUUGUGCACACUGAUGCAGUUUCUCUUGCUGUCAUCCACAUGACUCUUUGUGACUUCAUUUGACACUGUAUUAAGGUGUUUAAAGUGUGUCUUUGCAUUUCUUGCAUAACUGGAUCCUAUCUCAUUAAGGGUUGUGGACAUCAGCCUCUGGAGAGAAGAGAGUGGUGCUAACUCCUGGGAAGUGCUUUGCACGGCAUGACAGGGAGAAAGGUCAGAGUACCAUCGCCCUUGAGCAUCAUGGGCAGGGAUUUGGAGCAUCUGCACAGGUUUGGAGGAGGGGGG
Long non-coding RNA from Cyanistes caeruleus (blue tit), 282 nucleotides. RefSeq lists it as uncharacterized. The record is from RefSeq and is a predicted model, not a curated record. NCBI's taxonomy places the organism in Eukaryota, Metazoa, Chordata, Aves, Passeriformes, Paridae.